RNAcentral lists this ribosomal RNA (292 nucleotides) under uncultured Acidobacteriota bacterium. RNAcentral describes it as "uncultured Acidobacteria bacterium partial 16S ribosomal RNA". Lineage: Bacteria; Pseudomonadati; Acidobacteriota. The record is from RNAcentral.
GGACUACUGGGGUAUCUAAUCCUGUUUGCUACCCACGCUUUCGUGUUUCAGCGUCAGUGAUGGUCCAGAAAGCCGUCUACACCGCAGGUGUUCCUCCUGAUAUCUACGCAUUUCACCGCUACACCAGGAAUUCCACUUUCCCAUCCCAUACUCUAGCUCCCCAGUCUUCGGCGCACCCUCCCGGUUAAGCCGGGAGAUUUCACACCAAACUUAGAAAGCCGCCUACACACCCUUUACGCCCAGUAACUCCGAACAACGCUUGCUGCCUACGUAUUACCGCGGCUGCUGGCAC